This 901-nucleotide ribosomal RNA is filed under the name uncultured eukaryote. Its description in RNAcentral is "SSU rRNA". It matches the Rfam family "Eukaryotic small subunit ribosomal RNA", at positions 573 to 1498 of the family's 1831-position model. The record is from RNAcentral.
GCCGCGGUAAUUCCAGCUCCAAUAGCGUAUACUAAAGUUGUUGCGGUUAAAAAGCUCGUAGUUGGAUCUUGGAAUGUGUUCAAGCGGGUCAGCUUCUGGCUGUGCGCUGCUUGACGUGUUCUUCUAUUUGGUUUUGGUGCGGUGCGCUUAACUGCGUGUCGCUCCCGGCCGAAACGUUUACCUUGAAAAAAUUAGAGUGUUCAAAGCAGACCUGUUUGAGUCUGAAUAUUCGUGCAUGGAAUAAUGAAAUAUGAAUUCGGUUCUAUUUUGUUGGUUUUCGGAACUCGAGUUAAUGAUCAAGAGGGACAGACGGGGGCAUUCGUACUCUGCCGUUAGAGGUGAAAUUCUUGGAUCGGCGGAAGACGCGCAACUGCGAAAGCAUUUGCCAAGAAUGUUUUCUUUAAUCAAGAACGAUAGUCGGAGGUUCGAAGACGAUCAGAUACCGUCCUAGUUUCGACUGUAAACUAUGCCAGCUAACGAUCAGACAGAGUUCUCUACGACUUGUCUGGCAGUUUCCGGGAAACCAAAGCGUUUGGGUUCCGGGGGAAGUAUGGUUGCAAAGCUGAAACUUAAAGGAAUUGACGGAAGGGCACCACCAGGAGUGGAGCCUGCGGCUUAAUUUGACUCAACACGGGGAAACUCACCCGGCCCGGACACAGUGAGGAUUGACAGAUUGAGAGUUCUUUCUUGAUUCUGUGGGUGGUGGUGCAUGGCCGUUCUUAGUUGGUGGAGCGAUUUGUCUGGUUAAUUCCGAUAACGAACGAGACUCUGGCAUGUUAAAUAGUCGCGGAAGUGCGUAUGCACUUGCCGAAUUGACUUCUUAGAGGGACUAGUGAUUUUAAUUCACACGAGAUUGAGCAAUAACAGGUCUGUGAUGCCAGGCGAUCGUUAACUUGCAGAC